GAUGAACGCUGGCGGCGUGCCUAAUACAUGCAAGUCGAGCGAACAGACGAGGAGCUUGCUCCUCUGACGUUAGCGGCGGACGGGUGAGUAACACGUGGAUAACCUACCUAUAAGACUGGGAUAACUUCGGGAAACCGGAGCUAAUACCGGAUAAUAUAUUGAACCGCAUGGUUCAAUAGUGAAAGACGGUUUUGCUGUCACUUAUAGAUGGAUCCGCGCCGCAUUAGCUAGUUGGGAAGGUAACGGCUUACCAAGGCAACGAUGCGUAGCCGACCUGAGAGGGUGAUAGGCCACACUGGAACUGAGACACGGUCCAGACUCCUAAGGGAGGCAGCAGUAGGGAAUCUUCCGCAGUGGGCGAAAGCUUGACGGAGCAACGCCGCGUGAGUGAUGAAGGUCUUCGGAUCGUAAAACUCUGUUAUUAGGGAAGAACAAAUGUGUAAGUAACUAUGCACGUCUUGACGGUACCUAAUCAGAAAGCCACGGCUAACUACGUG
RNAcentral lists this ribosomal RNA (497 nucleotides) under uncultured bacterium. Its description in RNAcentral is "partial 16S ribosomal RNA". It matches the Rfam family "Bacterial small subunit ribosomal RNA", at positions 28 to 507 of the family's 1533-position model. The record is from RNAcentral.